This 497-nucleotide ribosomal RNA is filed under the name uncultured bacterium. RNAcentral describes it as "partial 16S ribosomal RNA". It matches the Rfam family "Bacterial small subunit ribosomal RNA", at positions 28 to 507 of the family's 1533-position model. The record is from RNAcentral.
GAUGAACGCUGGCGGCGUGCCUAAUACAUGCAAGUCGAGCGAACAGACGAGGAGCUUGCUCCUCUGACGUUAGCGGCGGACGGGUGAGUAACACGUGGAUAACCUACCUAUAAGACUGGGAUAACUUCGGGAAACCGGAGCUAAUACCGGAUAAUAUAUUGAACCGCAUGGUUCAAUAGUGAAAGACGGUCUUGCUGUCACUUAUAGAUGGAUCCGCGCCGCAUUAGCUAGUUGGUAAGGUAACGGCUUACCAAGGCAACGAUGCGUAGCCGACCUGAGAGGGUGAUCGGCCACACUGGAACUGAGACACGGUCCAGACUCCUACGGGAGGCAGCAGUAGGGAAUCUUCCGCAAAGGGCGAAAGCCUGACGGAGCAACGCCGCGUGAGUGAUGAAGGUCUUCGGAUCGUAAAACUCUGUUAUUAGGGAAGAACAAAUGUGUAAGUAACUAUGCACGUCUUGACGGUACCUAAUCAGAAAGCCACGGCUAACUACGUG